Molecule: ribosomal RNA, 852 nt
Filed under: bacterium H4BS(9)aut
Lineage: Bacteria
Description: bacterial SSU rRNA
Rfam family: Bacterial small subunit ribosomal RNA
Source: RNAcentral
CACAUGCAGCCGAGCGGUAGGAUCUCUUCGGAGAUCUGAGAGCGGCGCACGGGUGCGGAACACGUGUGCAACCUGCCUUUAUCAGGGGGAUAGCCUUUCGAAAGGAAGAUUAAUACCCCAUAAUAUAUUUGAUGGCAUCAUUGAAUAUUGAAAACUACGGUGGAUAGAGAUGGGCACGCGCAAGAUUAGAUAGUUGGUGAGGUAACGGCUCACCAAGUCUACGAUCUUUAGGGGGCCUGAGAGGGUGAUCCCCCACACUGGUACUGAGACACGGACCAGACUCCUACGGGAGGCAGCAGUGAGGAAUAUUGGACAAUGGGUGAGAGCCUGAUCCAGCCAUCCCGCGUGAAGGACGACGGCCCUAUGGGUUGUAAACUUCUUUUGUAUAGGGAUAAACCUAGAUACGUGUAUCUAGCUGAAGGUACUAUACGAAUAAGCACCGGCUAACUCCGUGCCAGCAGCCGCGGUAAUACGGAGGGUGCAAGCGUUAUCCGGAUUUAUUGGGUUUAAAGGGUCCGUAGGCUGAUUUGUAAGUCAGUGGUGAAAUCUCACAGCUCAACUGUGAAACUGCCAUUGAUACUGCAAGUCUUGAGUGUUGUUGAAGUAGCUGGAAUAAGUAGUGUAGCGGUGAAAUGCAUAGAUAUUACUUAGAACACCAAUUGCGAAGGCAGGUUACUAAGCAACAACUGACGCUGAUGGACGAAAGCGUGGGGAGCGAACAGGAUUAGAUACCCUGGUAGUCCACGCCGUAAACGAUGCUAACUCGUUUUUGGGUUUUCGGAUUCAGAGACUAAGCGAAAGUGAUAAGUUAGCCACCUGGGGAGUACGUUCGCAAGAAUGAAACUCAAAGAA